ACGAAGGGGGCUAGCGUUGCUCGGAAUGACUGGGCGUAAAGGGCGCGUAGGCGGAUCUGACAGUCAGGCGUGAAAUUCCCGGGCUCAACCUGGGGGCUGCGCUUGAUACGUGAGGUCUUGAGUGGGGAAGAGGGUCGUGGAAUUCCCAGUGUAGAGGUGAAGUUCGUAGAUAUUGGGAAGAACACCGGUGGCGAAGGCGGCGACCUGGUCCUUUUACCGACGCUGAGGCGCGAAAGCGUGGGGAGCAAACAGGA
Molecule: ribosomal RNA, 254 nt
Filed under: uncultured prokaryote
Description: partial 16S ribosomal RNA
Rfam family: Bacterial small subunit ribosomal RNA
Source: RNAcentral